AGGCCUUCGGGUGCUGACGAGCGGCGGACGGGUGAGGAAUGCAUAGGAAUCUGCCUAUUAGUGGGGGAUAACACGGGGAAACUCGUGCUAAUACGCAUACGUCCUACGGGAGAAAGCGGGGGAUCUUCGGACCUCGCGCUAAUAGAUGAGCCUAUGCCGGAUUAGCUAGUUGGUAGGGUAAAGGCCUACCAAGGCGACGAUCCGUAGCUGGUCUGAGAGGAUGAUCUGCCACACUGGGACUGAGACACGGCCCAGACUCCUACGGGAGGCAGCAGUGGGGAAUAUUGGACAAUGGGCGCAAGCCUGAUCCAGCCAUGCCGCGUGUGUGAAGAAGGCCUUCGGGUUGUAAAGCACUUUAAGUGGGGAGGAAGGUUAGUGGUUUAAUACGCUACUAAAUUGACGUUACCCACAGAAUAAGCACCGGCUAACUCUGUGCCAGCAGCCGCGGUAAUACAGAGGGUGCAAGCGUUAAUCGGAAUUACUGGGCGUAAAGCGCGCGUAGGUGGUUUUGUAAGUUGAAUGUGAAAUCCCCGGGCUUAACCUGGGAAUGGCAUCCAAAACUGCACGACUAGAGUAUGGGAGAGGGAGGUAGAAUUCCAGGUGUAGCGGUGAAAUGCGUAGAGAUCUGGAGGAAUACCGGUGGCGAAGGCGGCCUCCUGGCCUAAUACUGACACUGAGGUGCGAAAGCGUGGGUAGCAAACAGGAUUAGAUACCCUGGUAGUCCACGCCGUAAACGAUGAGAACUAGCCGUUGGUCUCCUUGAGAGGUUAGUGGCGCAGCUAACGCGAUAAGUUCUCCGCCUGGGGAGUACGGCCGCAAGGUUAAAACUCAAAUGAAUUGACGGGGGCCCGCACAAGCGGUGGAGCAUGUGGUUUAAUUCGACGCAACGCGAAGAACCUUACCUGGUCUUGACAUCCACGGAAUCCUGCAGAGAUGUGGGAGUGCCUUCGGGAACCGUGAGACAGGUGCUGCAUGGCUGUCGUCAGCUCGUGUUGUGAAAUGUUGGGUUAAGUCCCGUAACGAGCGCAACCCUUGUCCUUAGUUGCCAGCGAGUAAUGUCGGGAACUCUAAGGAGACUGCCGGUGACAAACCGGAGGAAGGUGGGGACGACGUCAAGUCAUCGUGGCCCUUACGACCAGGGCUACACACGUGCUACAAUGGCCGGUACAGAGGGUUGCCAAGCCGCGAGGUGGAGCCAAUCCCGAAAAGCCGGUCGUAGUCCGGAUUGCAGUCUGCAACUCGACUGCAUGAAGUCGGAAUCGCUAGUAAUCGCAGAUCAGAAUGCUGCGGUGAAUACGUUCCCGGGCCUUGUACACACCGCCCGUCACACCAUGGGAGUGGGUUGCACCAGAAGUAGUUAGCUUAACCGCAAGGGGAGCGAUUACCACGGUGUG
RNAcentral lists this ribosomal RNA (1394 nucleotides) under metagenome. RNAcentral describes it as "bacterial SSU rRNA". It matches the Rfam family "Bacterial small subunit ribosomal RNA". The record is from RNAcentral.